RNAcentral lists this long non-coding RNA (16713 nucleotides) under Citrus maxima (pomelo). Its description in RNAcentral is "long non-coding RNA (CMAX_LNC000462)". Lineage: Eukaryota; Viridiplantae; Streptophyta; Magnoliopsida; Sapindales; Rutaceae. The record is from RNAcentral.
AAAAAGAAAAUGGAAUAAACAGCUCACUGUCUCCCGCAGCCGGCGCGAUGGCUACGGUUGAACGAGGCUACAAUGACAACUGCAUUCGAUGAGGUGCCUGAAUCACGAUCAUUGCCGCGAACUAGCUACGACUCUGAAUCACGACCACGAUCGGCCCUACGAGCUAAUAAAAAAAAUUGAAUCGAUUGGCAAUGGUGGAUGGUGCGUGAGUGAUGGGCUGACAAUAGUGAAAUUGACAGAGUGAGACGAUGAGACUGGAGAGGGAGAUGGUGAGACCGUGAGAGAGAGGGAGAGACCAACGAUGGGAGAGAGUGGAAGUGAGCAUAAAAGAGAGAGAGAGAGAGACAUGAGAUGGAGAGAAUGAGAGUGAGCGUGUGAGAGAGAGGGGGGCCAUGGCUGCUGCUGUGCUUGUAGAAUUAGAAAUGAGGUCAUGAUUUUUUUGUUUUAUAUUUUAGCCAAUUAGGAUUUUUUUUAUAAAUAUUUUACACGGUUACAUCUAAAACCGUCAUUGUUAUUUUUAACUUAAAUGACGGUUCUUUACAACCGUCGUUAAUACUUGAAUAAGACAUAUAAUGACGGUUUUUAUAUAUAACUGUCAUUAAAAUAAAGUUAUAUUUUGUUUUGAUAUUUAAUGAUUGUUAUAUAAUAAAAUGAUUAUAAAAAAAUUAUACUUUUAAUGAUCGUUUUUAUACAAAAACAUCGUUAAAAGUAACUAAAAAUAAAAUUAUAUUUUAACUUGACAUUUAGUAACUGUUAUAUAAUAUAAUCGUCAUUGUAAAUAUUAUACAUUAAUAAUCAUUUUUAUACACAAAUGUCAUUAAAAAUAAGACUAUUUUUUACUUGACAUUUAAUAAAUGUUAUAUAAUACAAUCGUCAUUGUAAAUAUUAGAUAUUAUGACGGCUCAUAUAAUAACGAUCAUCGCAUAUUACCUUAUUGUUAACUUUUUAUUCACACGAAAACAUAUAUUAAUUUCUUAUCUUUAGUGCUCCAUUUUUUAAUUUUAAUUUUAAUUUAUAUGAUUAAUUUAAUUUAUAUGAUUAAUUUAAUUUAUAAUGAAUAUGAAUAAAAUUGUAUUUGAAAACAAGAGUAAUAAUAUAAAAUUAUACUUCUAGGGAGGUUAUAGGCUAUAUAAAAACAAUAAAGGGGUAUACAUACAUAAACUCUGGCUGUGUACGUUGUCCUGAAAUACCUUUACUGAGAAAUGAGAAGGAAGGAUACAAUAUUGAAUUUUCUUAGCAAAUAUUUGAUACUGGCUGCAUUUCCUAAUGCGACAACUGACUAGAACAUUCACUGUAUGUGAAUGUUUUAGAAAGAAAAUUGUGCUAUUUUUGUAGAGAUGAUGAGAAAUUUCAACAUUCAAAAAAAUAAAUAGGAGACUUAUUCAAUCUCGGUGGCGUCUCACCAUUUAAUUUUAUGGUGCAAUAAGAGUCCUUGCUCUUUCCUGGAAAUGUAGGAAAGGGGGAUAUUUCGCCAUCCAACAGUGCUUUACACAAAGCAACGUUUUUGGACUCCAGUUAGUAGUAGGCAAUUCGCACUUUACUUGUACGAUCAAAUAUUACUAUAUUAGGCAAUUUGUACUUGACUUGUAUGAUGAAUACGACCGGCAAUUGAUUUGCACUCGACUUUUAUCACGAAUUUGCUGGAAAUAAUAAAUUCGAAUUUGUAGAGAUGUCAAUCUAUUUGUCGGUAAAAAUAUCAUAUUUUUCUUGUAUGUUGUUUUACUUUUUUUAAUGUUUCAUUCAACACAAUAAAUAAUAUAUGGUAUUAAAAGGUUAUGGUGGAUCAAAGUGGUAAAUAUAGCUUCUAAGAGUGAGAAAAGUGUCCUUCACAUAUUCACAGCCUACAUGAUGGUGAUAUUCGUCGCAGUUUUGCCAAAUUCCAUCAUUUAGAUAUUUAAAUAUUUCAUUUUCAAAUUACUUUUAGAAAUUUUAGGUAAUUCAUCAUUUUGUUAAAAAAACUCCAAUGCCAUCUCAUGAAGAUGCAAUUACAACAAAUGGUACAAGGAAUUAAUAAUCAAUCAGCUCCUACCUGUACGUGUCAUCGAUCAAGGAAUUUAAGCAGCACCAUUCCACAUGUAUUUAAAUACUUAAGAUUAUUAAAAGACUAUAUAUACAGUCCUUCUAUCUCAUAGGCUGGUCCCAUUUUUUUUUUUUAUACAGACACACUCUUAAGGCAUAUGAUUUAAUAAAAUCAAUAUUUAAUAUACUAUUAAAACAUGUGGUUUAAUAAAGUUACUAUUUAAUUAAUUGUAAAAUCAUAUGACUUUAUAAUGUUUACACGUGAAAAAAAAGGGGAGCGUUGCAGGUGCCCUCAUUUUUUUUUUAUACAGACACUUUCAAGCCAUGCAAUUUAAUAGAAUCAAAUUUUAAUACUAUUAAGCUGCACGACUUUAUAGUGCUUAAAAAAUAAAUCAAUUUAGCUGCACGACUUAGCAAUAUAUUCGUAUUAAAAAAUAAAAAAAUAAGGGCACCCACACCUUAUAUAUAUGGCUCAUUUUCUAGUGCGGGUGCCUUUAUUAUUAUUUUUUUUCAUACGGACAUGCUUUUUAACCAUAAGAUUUGAGAGAGUUGGUUUUUAACUCUCUUAAACUCCAAGACUUUAUGUUCAUUCAAAAACUAAAUUUCUUAAACCUCACAGUUUAAAAGCAUUUCUAUGUUAAAAAGAACAUGGAUCCCGCAACUGAGAAUGAUUAUAUAUAUAUUAGUCAUGGGACAUUUUCACAUUUAUGAUUAUGUGUUUAAUCCCAUGUAGCGAUAACCUAUUUAAUUGGAACAUUAUUAGCACCGAUGCCUUUCAAACAUGUAACUUACUCAAUUUGAACACGUGAUGAUUUCUGUUUAUGGUUGGGGCUGCUCGAUCAAAGUUUCUUUAUUAGCUGAGAUAGCCCCCCACCUUGACCCUUUGAGACAUGCUUGGACGUAUGUUAAUAACAGAAUAUUAAUUAAUGUUAGCAAUUUCCACACACACACACUAUAUAAAGGUUUAGCGUUCCAUAAACUAAGCACUACUCUUCAGCAUCCAUACAGUACCUUGUUAGUUUCUCCAUUAUAUCCUAAUUAGCCUAAGAAGAUGGGUUCAUUCCAAGAUGAUCACCAAGGCAUGUUGAAACCAGCAGGGGAUGAGCAAGACUUCUUGUUGGCCAUGGAACUCGCUUCCGGCGCAGUACUUCCAAUGACCAUUAAAUCUGCCACUGAGCUUGGUUUGUUGGAGAUAAUGGCGAAAGUUAGCCCAACUCAACUCUCGUCUUCAGAGAUUGCCUCUCAGCUGCCCACAAAUAACAAAAAAGCCCCAAUAAUACUGGACAGAAUGCUGCGCCUCCUAGCCAGUUACUCUUUUCUCACAUGUAAUCUUGUCUCGAACAAAGACGGAAGUGUUCAGAGAUUAUAUGGCUUGACACCGGUUUCCAAAUAUUUUGUUCCAAAUGAAGAUGGAGUUUCUCUUGCUCCCACUCUGCUCAUAAUUCAGGACAAAAUUAGUAUGGAUUCUUGGUAAUUUGCUUUCUAAUUUCCUUGUACUCACAUUAAUUGUAUCUGUAGACGUUAUAACAUAAUAUAUGCACUCAAUUAAUUAAUACUCAUAUGUGUGCAUGAUAUCUUCUGACAGGUCCUGCGCGAAGGAUGCUUUAUUGGAAGGGUCGGUACCAUCUAUGAAGGCACAUAAUGGAAUGGAUUUAUUUGCGGCUGCCGCCAAAGAUGAAAGAAUAAAUAACCUCUUCAAUCAAUCAAUGCACAAUCACACAACUAUAGUCAUGAAGGAAAUUCUUGAGAUCUACAAGGGAUUUGAAGGGCUGAACCAAUUGGUGGAUGUUGCCGGUGGCUUAGGUGCAAAUCUUAAAUCAGUUGUUUCUAAAUAUCCACAAUUAAGGGGGAUUAACUUUGAUUUACCUCAUGUCCUCAAACAUGCACCCUCUUGUCCAGGUAUAUAAUUAUUCACGUAUACGUCACUCGUUGCCAGCUUAUUUAAUUUUGUAGAUCCUCCUCUUACGUAAAAUUUUUUCGAUUAAUUAUCAUUUUAAAAACAACGACAAUUUCAUUUUUUUCCCUUGUGUUUUAAUUCUCUUGCAGGUGUGGAGCAUGUUGGAGGAGAUAUGUUUGUUGAAGUUCCUAAAGGACAAGCUAUUUUCAUGAAGGUUAGUUCUCUACUUAAUAUUUAAUUAUUGAAAUAGAAAAUAAAAUAUUGAUUAUGUAUGUCAAUUCCGAAAAUUUUGAAAUUUCACGAAAUGUUCAUAAAAAUUAAACUCUCAGUGGAUACUUCAUGACUGGAGCGAUGAAGACUGUUCGAAGAUACUAAAGAACUGCUACGAAGCAAUACCGGAAUCCGGAAAGGUCAUUUUGGUGGAAUCAAUAGUGCCAGAAUUCCCCGAGACUGAUAUUGUAAGCAAGAAUAUAGCAAGUCUUGACGUACACCUCUCCAAUCAAUUUCCCGGAGCAAAGGAGAGGACAUUGGCGGAGUUCAAGGCCUUGGCAACAGGAGCUGGAUUUGCAGAUAUUAAAGUUAUAUGUCGUGUUUACUGCUAUUGGGUCAUUGAAUUCUACAAAACGAUCUAAGCAUAACGAUUUACGAGUGCUGGUCAUUUUAUGGUUCGCAUGCAUUUUCUUUUUCUUUUUUUAAAUUAAAUGACAGAAUCCUGUCCUUAUUCUGUCUGAUCAACACUUCUAUCUCUUCCCACGUUUCAAUAAUUUCUAGGCAUUGUUCAUUUUGUUCCUCCAUGACUUUUGUAAUUUCAUUUCUUAUAGCAAUAAUAAACCCGCCUCUUAUUGAGAUUUAUUAAAAAUAAUUUGCUUCAUUUCUCAUAAUUGUGCUUUACAAAAUAUCCAGCUAUAGGUGCUCAUAGUCCAAACCAGUGCACCCAGUUCUGGAAAUUCCAAUUCAUAUGUUUUUUUUCAAUCUAGUGGAUUGGUUGAUAGGAUAUGAUUUAAAAAUUUUCCCAAUUGGUGGAUUGAAUACAAUUUGUAGUAUUGUAAGUGACAAUAAGGUUUGCAAAUUGAUUAAUAAAACAAAUCAUUUGAAAAAAAUAAAAUCACAAGUACGAUUAUCGGCAUAAAAUAUUGAAAAAAAAUUAGAGAAAGAUAGUAGAAUUGUUUACUGACAGAGGGAUUUGAGGUUGUUUAAAAAUGAUCAUUUGGAAAAUUUCUAAUUAAUAAAGAGUGUGGAGCAUCGUCUGCUUGAUGACCGGGCAUGCUAAAAUAAGCUUGGUCAUAUUUCAAAAUUUCACGGUCGCAUUUUGGGGAGGAAAAUGGACGGGGCCCAAACAUUGUUUUCGGGGAAGCCCAAGCCAAACUUUAUUUUUCCGAGACCAGGUCUUGAAAAGCCCAUCACAUAAUUGGGCGACCGUGUAUACUGUAUAGUAGAGUUUUCCAAUUUCAACUUAUACCUUAGAUUUUUUUCUUUUUUUUUUAAGAGUAAGUUCAAAAGUUUCAUAUUUCUCAAAAAACUUUUAAUCGAAAUGAGGCAACAAAAUGCUCACAUUCUUUCGAUUAUCAUUCUUGAAAUGGUCCAGCUACGUUACCCUUGAGGUUUGGUGCCCCAUUUUUUGUCUUUUUCAAAUUCACCGUUGGAUGUAACCCAAGAGUUGUAUAAUGGGUUAGAUGUGAUUUUAGGUUAUUAACAUUAAAAGCCCUUCUUGUUCAUACAAAAUAAGAAAAAUAAAAAAUUUUAAAAUUAUUACAUAUAAGUCCAUAAUAUUCUAAUUUUUUUUACACUAUUGAACUAGAUUUCUAAUUAAAUAACUUAUUCUUACAUUUAUUAAUAUAUAUUUCAAUUAAUAAAUUUAAUUAUUCAUUAAAAAAUUAACUAAUUUAUUAUAUAGUUAAACUAUGUAUAUUAUUUAUGAACCAUAAUUAAUGAUAAAUAUAAAUAUAAUUUUUUUUUAAAUUUUAACAUAACGGCAACCAAUUUCCUCUCAACCAUGUGACCAAGGUUCAAACCUCAUAACUUUUUUUAUUCCAACACAAGAGAUUUUACUAUCUCAAGUAAAUGUAAUGUACAAAAUACGGAAAUAAAUUUAAUUUGAUAUUCUAUGUAGUUAAUUUUCUUUUGUAACAUAAGAUUUAUUUAACAUGCUAUCAAUUAUUUAAUUAUGUAAUAAAGUGUUAGUUUAUGAAUUUGUAAAAUAAUUUUUAUUUGUUUGAACAAUGAGUUUGUAUUUUUGGUUGAGUUUUUUUCCUUAAAUAAAAAGAAUAAAUUUAAUUGCACACUUAAAUAAAUUGAUAUUUGUUACUCCACCCCAACAGUUUAAAUAGUCAUCAGCACACAUCCAUACGGUUGAGAUCUUUCAUUAACUUAACUGAGAGAAGGUUAAAUUCUAAACAAUUACUUUAUUUGAAAUAAUUUAAAUAUUUCCUUAGUAAAAAUAAACUAAAAAAUAAGUAUUUUCUAUUUAUUCUCUCUUGCUAACAUCGCACAUGCACAACAAUAGAGAUGGCAAUUUAGCACAUAUCUAUCAAUUAAAAUAUAAGUAAAUUAGUAUAAUUAAUUGAAUGAUUAAUCGUGUUAUAAACAAGUUUUCAAAUUAAGAGUUUUACAAAGCAGGCAAUUGUCUUUAUUUCCUAUUAAAGCUAUUGUGCCUCAAAUUCAAUCACACAAUCCAAAAACUUUUCUUUCAAUUUAUUGGUGUUUGUGUGUAUAAAGAGAAUAAGUGCUUGAAUUUAUAGGUGCUUGAAUUCUAAACAAAUCGUUGGGGGAUUUGGAGUGCAAGGAACCAGUUUAUUUUUAAGCUGAAGAAGGAAGAACCCCAGAUCGUGCUGGCAAAAGCUAAAGCUAUCCUAAAGUCCUAUAAACGAACCCAUGUGCCAGCACCAAUUCACAUGGAUCAGCAGACAUGUAAGGCACAACAAAAUUGGUCCCCUCCUCCAGCUGGUUAUUUUAAGCUAAAUGUGGAUGCAGCCACAAACCGAGACAAUCAAAUAUCAGACUUGGAUGCAGUCUACAGGUUGCUGGGAAUGCAAAGCUACCCUCCUUAAUUGUUGAGACAAAUUCUCAAGAGGUAGCAGGUUUUGUGAACAACAGACAGAACAUCAUGAAAGAGAUUUUCUGGGUAGUGGCAGCAAUUCAAAGCUUAAUGAAGAAUUUUACUCAGAUUAAAGUUCAAUACAUACCUAGAUCUUGUAAUGCUAUUGCUCACUUUCUAGCUAAGUUAGCAAUAGAGAAAUGUGAAAAUGUUGUUUGGAUGUGUUCAUACCCUUCAGAACUUAUGUCCUUGUUUGCUUCUUUCAAUUAAUGAAAGUUUAUUUCCCUUUCAAAAAAAAAAAAAAGAAUUCUAAACAAAUUGUGGCAUCGAGAAGCCGUAAUGCAAUUGAAAAUUUUUAGGUGCAGGACUAAUGUGUGAAAAUUUAAAAGUUUUUAGUUUUUCGGUUUUUAUAACAAAUAACAUGACUCUUUUGGGGGAAUAAGUAAUAGAAUCAGAAGAGAAAAAAAGGACGACAAGAAUGAUUAAAGACAUUUUUUUUCAUUUGGAGCAAUUAGCUAGUUAGUUAUGUGCAAUACAAAUUAACAACACACCUCUGCCUACCUAUUUAUAAUGUGUUGAUCCGACCUUUUAUUGACUUUUUUUUAAUACAAUUGGUGAUUAUUGCUUAAGAAUAUAAAACUAAUUAGAUUUUAACUAUAUAUUACUAUAUAUUCACGCAUGUUAGAAAAUUAUGGUGGAAAAUUAUGAAGAAUUAAACACUGAUUAGCCCAAUAUUGAACCUAAAUCCAUGAGUUGUAUGAUAUGUGGGCGGAUGACGUUCCCGUUAUAGUAUGAGAAGGCCCUUAGGCCCAAAGGCGGAGCUACCUAAUUCCUAUGUAGGCUCAAGCAAAUCACCUUUUUUUUUGGUAAAUAAAUAAAAUAUCAUGUAAAACAAUAAAAGUUUAGAACCACAUUAAUGAUCAAGCAACCUCCAACUACGAAAACUUUUACCUUCCACUUUAUUGUUUUAUCUUUAAUUUACACAAAAAUAAAUUAUUCAAUUUGUUUCUCUUUCAUAAAAUAUUUUAAUUAGCUGUUAAGAAAUCCAAGAUCCAAUGGCAUCAACCGAUGUUCAGGACAUGGAAAAGAGCUUAGCAAUAUCAAAAUUGAUUAUUUUAUUAAAACUUAUACAAUAUUUUUUUAAAAUUUAUUGGACAUUAAAGAAAUAUCCGAGGACUAAUCUUUCUUGUUGUUGUUGUUGUUAUUAUUAUUAUUAUUAUUAGUUUUUAACGUGAAUGAUUCCGUUUGGAAUAGAGUUUUAUUUAAAUAUAAAAAGGAACAACAAAAUGAGACAACAUUUUAGAGAAACAUAAUGAACCAUACUCUUAAUCAAUAAUGUUUGAGAUCUCAAUAUUUGAUUCAUAACUUAAAUCUUAAUAUUAUGAAUCAUUCAUUUAUUAGACGAUGAAUGUAAUUAUUUAUUAUUUAUUAUUUAUUAUCUUAUAAAUAAAUAAAUGACAUGUAAAUUAAGACUCAAGUUAGGAGUAAAAAGCUGAGAUCCCUAACAUGACUCACUUUUAAAUGAAAGCAGUAAAUCACCCUUGCAGUUAUUAUUAUGAUGCUCAAACAAGAAAUACAUAUAAACGCGAACAAUCCAAGUCUUCAUGUAAACUCGGUAGCUACAAGCAUGAGACGAUUCUUCUUGUGCUGGGUAAAUCCGGGCUUAACUUCAUAAUCCAAGUCAUCAAUCUCCAUUCCACGCGGCAUUGUCCAAUCAAAUUUGUAAAGAAGAUUGGCAAGUGCAAGCUCCACAAUCGGCAUUGCUAUGGGUAAUCCUGCACAAAUUCUUCUACCGGUACGAAAUGGGAGAAAUUCAAAGUUUCGCCCUCCCAUAUCAAUAUUAGAGCCCACAAAUCUCUCAGGAAUAAAUUCGUCUGGUUUAUCCCAAACUUGGCCGUCCCUUCCUAUUGCCAGCACAUUAACGAAAACCGUUGUCUUAGCUGGUAUGUGAUAACCAUCGAUAAUGCGCCUUUCUGUGGUUUCUCUUGGAAGGCAAUUCGUACUUUACUUGUAUGAUCAAAUAUUAGGCAAUUUGUACUUGACUUGUAUGGUCAUCGUUACAGGCAAUUAAUUUGCACUCGACUUGUAUCAUGAAUUCCUUGGAAGAAAUAAUUAGUUCGAAAUUUAUAGGGAUGUCAAUCUACUUGUCGGUAAACAUGUCAUAUUUAUCCUGUAUGUUGUUUUUUUUUUUUUUUUUUAAUGUUUCAUUCAAUACAAUAAAUAAAAUAUGGAAUUCAAAAGUUAUAGUGGAUCAAAGUGGUAAAUACAGUUUCUGAGAGUGACGAAAAUGUCCUUUAUAUAUUCACAGCCUAUUAGAUGGCGAUAUUCGUCACAGUUUUGCCAAAUUCCAUCAUUAAGAUAUUUAAGUUUCAUUUUCAAAUUUCUUUUAGAAAUUUUAGAUAUUUCAUCAUUUUGUAAAAAACCUCGAAUGCAGUCGUGUCUCUCGUGAAGCAAAUCUCAAAGUGUCAAAGUGGGAGAGCCAUCUCAUUGUUUUAAAUUAAUAUGCAAAAAGCAGCCGACGUCUAUCGACACUGUAACUGUAAAGGAUGCGAUUACAACAAAUGGUACAAGGAAUUUAUAAUCAAUCAGCUCCUACGUAUACGUAUCAUCGAUCAAGGAAUUUAAGCAGCACCAUUCCUCAUGUAUUUAAAAACUUAUAAUUACAUAUAUAUAUAUAUAUAAGCUUGUCAAAGCUUUUAAGCUUGUAAAUCACAAAUUAUAGGUAGAGCAAUUUAGAAUUAAAAUAUACUAUAGCAAUGAUGACUUACAUCCGCUAUUUGCAUAGACUAUCACUCAAAUCUGGUGAUUCGAUAUUCUCAAUUGAUGAAAAUAUGCAACAUGUUUAAAAUAAAUCUUGCAUGCUAACAAAAUAAUAAAUAUUGAGCAAAGAAUUUGUACCUUUGCCCCUGGUCAAUUUGAUAAUGAUCUCGAAAAUUUUGAUGGCCAUGAGAAAAUCAACUAACGACCAACGCUUUAUUAUUGAUGUUGUCGGAGGAUUACCAAAUUGAGAAGGAAGUGCUAAAAUCUUGAAUGGCGUUGAGAACUUAAAAAAUCUGAAAUGGAACAUUUAAAAUAGAAAGAAAAUAUAAUUAUCAAUACUCAAAGAUAGUCCAUGCUUUGUGGCUUAAAAACUUGAGUGGAAAACCCAGCAAAAAAGAAAAGCAAAACAGUGUAAUUUCACUGGUAUUUUUGCUGCUGUCAUGCAGUAAAAACAUAGUAGUCUUACUGCAAAGUUUUUGCAGCUGUUUUUACUGUAUAACAGCGGCAAAACAGCAAAAGAAACUAUAAUUCGGCUGCUGUUUUACUGUUGUCAUGUGGUAAAAUAGAGCAGACUUGCUGCAAAGAUUUUGCAGCUGUUUUGACUGUAUAACAACAGCAAAAACAGCACAAAAAAACUACAAUUUGGCUGCUGUUUUUACUGCUGUCAUGCGGUAAAACAGAGCAGUCUUACUGCAAAGUUUUUGCUGCUGUUUUGACUGUACAACAGCAGGAAAAACAGAAAAAAAAAAUUGUAAUUUGGCUGCAGCAAAAACAACAGAAAAACUAUAAUUUGGCUGCUGUUUUUACUGUUAUCAUGCGGCGAAAAUACAGCAGUCUCACUGCAAAAAUUUUGCCUCUGUUCUUACUGUAUAACAAUAGCAAUACAUCACCUUAAAUAAGAGAAAAAAAUUCUUUCAGCUACUGCACAUUCAAUUUAAUUUAGCUUAAAUCCUUCAUAUUGUAGAGAGUGAGAGAUUGAUUCUAUAGAAUAAAGAGAAAUUAAGAUAAUUCAUAAAUUAUAAGCCAGUAUCUUCACCAUGACUGGCAACUUCCGCAAGCAAUUCAUUUGCUCUUUACCAUGAGGACUCAUCAGAACUGAAUAAGCAAACAACACCCUUAUAAAAGAAUGAAUCUAAGUCUGAUAUGAAAUGAGCAAAACCUAGGUUAUGAGCAGCACAGAAGUGCAAAAAGAAAAAGGGAAUGUCUUUCUCUGUAAAUACAUGUAGGCAGAUGCAUGCAAGGGAAAGAAGAAUGUCUUUCUACAUUCUCAAGGCUCCAAUUGAAGCACUAACAGGUACAUUUAUGCAAAAAUAUAAGAAGAAAAAUAAUGUAUGAUACCUGUAGUCCCUGAGGAGUAAACAAAUGUAUUUCGAUACGUGUACAUUUCCUGAAAGAAGAUUGAACUAUAAAUAGACUGCCAAUGGAUCAAAAUGCACUUUCAACACAAAAUCCAAUUAAUUUUGAAGAUGGCGCAAAACAAUUAGUUGAAAAUUGUACUCGUGACACCAGAAUGAUCAUCUUAUUAUAUCAUUAGCAAAUGAUUACAACUUGGUAUUUAUACUAAAUGAAAGAAGAAUCUUGUAGCUUAACAGUUUGUUGGAUCUAAUAUGCAUGCAAUACAAUUCGUUUGCUUUGCUGCUGAGCUGGAUAACUAACUAACACACGUAAGCAUUACCAGCUGCUUCAUUUAAUCAGAUGCCCUCAUCUAUACCAUAUUAUCAUACUCUGUAACAUCCCCCCUCAAGCUAAACUGACCUGGAUGGACAUUCAGCUUGCUUCUUAGGUAGUGAAACUGGUUGAAGGUUAAAGCCUUGGUAAGAACAUCUGCAUUUUGGUCUUCACUGGGAAUGAACUGAACUGUAAUUUGCUUAGCUGUUACUUUGUCCCUGAUGAAAUGAAUAUCAAGCUCAACAUGCUUAGUUUUAGCAUGAUAAACUGGAUUGUGAGCUAGAGCUAUAGCACUUUGAUUAUCACACCACAUUAUGGGGGCUGUGACUAGAUUAAUAUGCAGCUCUCUCAGUAAGGAUUGAAUCCAAGUGAUCUCAACUGUAGCUUGAGCCAAAGCUCUGUAUUUAGCUUUAGUGCUCGAUCUGGAAACUACUGCAUGUUUCUUAGAUGACCAAGAAACCAAAUUUGAACUAAGAUAAAUAGCAUAUCCAGCCACUGAUUUGCGAUCAUCUUUAUCACAUGCCCAAUCUGAGUCACUAAAACAAUUUAUCUGCAUAGUGCUGCAAUGAUAAAAGUGUAAUCCAAAAUGAAUUAUUGCUUUCAAAUAUCUAAGAAGGCUCUUGCAAGCCUCCCAGUGCUCUGCUGUUGGUGAAGCUAGAAACUGACUAAGUUUAUUUACAGAGAAGGCUAUCUCUGGCCUAGUGAGAGUCACAUAUUGUAAAGCUCCAACUAUACUUCUAUAUUGAGAAACAUUUGAAAUAACAUUUCCUGACCCUUUUGUAAGAUAAUGACCAGUUGACAUGGGAGUAGGAACUGGACUGCAGUCAGCUAUAUUGUGUUUGGCUAGAAGAUCAGCCAUGCAUUUUGACUGAGAGAGAUACAUUCCAGCUGCUGUUUUGGUAACUUAUAUCCCAAGAAAGAAAUUUAGUUUUCCCAGAUCCUUCAAAGCAAAUGCAUUUUACAUAUUUGUAACCACUUGCUGCACCAGUUGAUCACUGGAGUCUGUUAUGAUUAUAUCAUCCACAUAGACAAGGACAAAAAUUACAUGAUCACCUGUCCAUUUGUAGAAAAAAGAGUUGUCUGACUUUGAAUUUUGAAACCUCCAUUGCAUAACCAUAUCAUCUUUCAGUUUCUCAAACCAUGCCCUGGGGGCUUGUUUUAAACCAUAAAGUGCCUUCUUCAACUUACAGACAUGAUGAGGUUGAGAUAGAUCAAUAAAGCCAUCAGGCUGCCCCAUGUACACAUCUUCAACUAAUAUGCCAUUCAAAAAUGCAUUAUUCACAUCCACUUGUCUGAGCUCCCAUUUAUUCAUGACUGCCAAAUUUAAAAUAACCCUGACUGUUGAUGCUUUAACAACUGGACUGAAUGUUUAUGUGUAAUCAACUCCUUGUGUCUGAUGAAACCCCUUAGCCACCAAUCUGGCUUUGUAUCUAGAAAUGGUUCCAUCGACAUGAUAUUUUAUCUUGAAUAUCCAUUUGUUUCCAACUACCUUAACUGGUUCAUUUGGCAAGACCAGAUCCCAAGUAUGAUUGUUUUAGAAGUGCCUGAUAUUCUUCUUGCAUUGCCUUAAACCUUUUUGGAUAAGAUAAAGCUGCUGAAACAGAAGUAGGUUCUGAAGGUGUGGCUAGUAAAGCAGCUAGAUAGGAUUUAGGCUUAAAAAUACUGGCCUUGGAUCUGGUUAUCAUAGGAUGACUUAUAGGUGGUGCAGUAGGUAAUAUAUGAGGUGGAGAUUGUGUAGUAUGUAUAGGAUGUGUAUGUGAUGUUGAAGAAGAUGAUGAAGAAGAAGUUGAAGAUGUAGGGAAUACCUGUGGAGUGUCAGCAAGUAGGUAAUCAUUUGCUGGAGGUACUUGCAGAGGGGAUUGUACUUGUGGUAUUGAAACAAGAGUGACUUUGGACUCUGAAGAAAUAUCUGAGGAACUGCAAGACUGAGCAAUGGAAGAGAAAUCUGACCCAGACACAUAUGGAAAAGAUUGUUCAUCAAAGAUGACAUGGUUUGACAUAUAUACACGUCCAGAUGAAUGAAGACAUUGAUACCCUUUAUGAGAAGAGCUAUACCAAAUAAAGACACACCUGUUUGAUCUAAAACCAAGCUUGUGACUGUUAUAAGGUCUAAGAUAAGGAUAGCAAGCACACCCAAAGACUCUAAGAAAUGCAUAAUCUGGUACUUGCUGAAAAAGUUUUUGAUAAGGUGAAAUGUUGUUCAAAGUUGGUGUGGGUAGUCUGUUGAUAAGGAAUGCAACAGUAUGAAAAGCAUUCCACCAGAAUUUAAAUGGCAAAUUAGCUUGAGCUAACAGAGUGAGGCCAAUGUCAACUAUGUGUCUGUGUUUUCUCUCAAUUCUUCUAUUUUGAUGAUGGAUAUGUGGACAAGGAUGCCUGAACUGGAUUCCAAACUAAGUGAGAUAUGAUGAAAAGGUUCUAAACUCCCCUCCCCAAUCUGUUUGAACUGUUUUGAUAUGUUGUUGUAAGUGUUUUUCAAUGAAUGAUUUGAAUUCUGUGAAAACUUGAAGCGCAUCAAAUUUGGCAGACAAAGGAAAAAUCCAUGUAAAUCUGCUAAAGUCAUCUAAAAUGGACAAGUAAUAUAUAUAGCCUUGAGUGGAGGCAACAUGUGAUGGUCCCCAAAGAUCAGCAUAUAUGAGUUGUAAUUGUGCUGUUGUUUUUGUUGGAACAAAUCCAAAAUGUAAAAGAUGACUUUUACCAUGCUGACAGGCAUUGCAAAAAUUUGGAGUUUUAUUGAGUACAUUGUGACUAUUACAAGCUUUCAAUACAGAUUUGAGUGUGUGUAAGGCAGGAUGUCCUAGCCUUUUAUGAAGAAGAUUGAUAUCAACUGAACUAGUAUUGAUAGCCAAGGCUGAUUUACACAGCAAAUGAUUAAAAGAAGUACUCUUAUUUAUUUCAGAAGAAACAUCACUAGACAAAGGAGAAUGAUAAGCAAACAAAGACUGAGGUUUAUUGGAAGAAAGUUGACAUGACAAAGCUGAGCUAGUUUCAGAGAAUUGAGCUGCAGAUUGGACUUGAUACAAUCCCCCUGUUGCAAUUCCUCUAAGUGAAAUGAUCCAUGAGUUCCUGGCCUUGACAACACAAACAUUUUAAAAAAACUCAAGUGUCACAUUGUUAUCUACUAAGAGUUUUGAAACACAGAGUAAAUUCUUUUUAAUAUUUGGAACAUGAAAAACAUGGUUUAAAGACAAGGGUUUAUUUGUAGUAGUAGCUAGCAAUACUGAUCCAAUGUGUUUAAUAUGCAAUGCAGAACCAUUUCCAACAAGCUAUUUGUCAGUUCCAACAUAUGGAUUAAGAUCCAGUAAUUUACCUGAAUCAUUUGUGAUGUGGUUAGUAGCACCACUGUUAAUAUACCAGGCUGGAUCUUCAAUCAUCUCAGGUGCAUGAGCUGGAGCAGGAACUGAAGGAAUUGAGAGUGAUCAUGGAGAUCCAGAGUAAUCUCCAGUUGGAACAAAAGCAUGUGCAAGGGAGUAAACACCAUGAGAGUUAGUUUGUUAGUAAACAUUGAAUGCAGCUGGAUCCGAGUACAUCAAAUGACCUUGAUAACCAGGUGCUCUUGGUAUGUUGAAAUUCCCAAACUGAGAGUUACCAAUUCCAGCACCAAAUUGAGGAUUAAAAUUUCUACCAAAAUUUCCAUAAAUCAUAUAAGAUCUAUGACCAUUUGCAUAGCCAAAUCCUCUACCAUACUGCCUCUGACCAGGCCUAAAAUUUCCAUUAAAACCACCUCUUCCUUGAUUUCUUGAAGAAACAAAGGUUGAAUUAAACAUAUUUCUGCAUUGAUUGGCACUAUGACCAGGAAUAAAGCAGAUCUGACAAACAAUUUGUGAGAAGUUACCAUCACCAGAUCCAGCUCCAGAAUUAUAAACUCCUCCAUAAGGUCUAGUGUUAAACUUUUGAUUGUCACCAGUAUUUUUACCAGGAUUGAACUGCUUUUGAGCAACAUUAGCUGACAAGUUAUGUAUAACAUCACUUGCAAUUUUUCCUCUCUUUUGUUCCACUCGAUUUUCAUGACUCAGUAACAAUGAAUAAACUCAUCAAGAUUGAUAUUAUCUCCUCUAGCUAACACAAUAGUGACUAAUGAUUCAUAAUCAGAUGAAUCCAAUCCAAUUAAAACAUGUUGAACAAAAUCAUUCACUUGAACAGGUUUUCCAGCUAAAGCUAAGCUAUCAGAUAUCCUUUUCAUUUUUGCAAAAUAAUCAAUCAUGGACAUUGAGCCUUUUUUAAGAGUUUGGAUAUGCAUUUUUAGAGGCAUUAUUCUAGCUUGGGACUGAGAGACAAACAUACUUGUAAGUGUAUCCAGUAGCUCUUUUGCAGUUGAGCAGUGGAUCACUGUUGUCAGCAGAUUUGGCUGAAUGGAUGACAUCAUCCAACUCAGAAUCAAUUGAUCCGUCUUUAUCCACAUUGUGUAAGCUGGAUUGAUCUCUUGAUUCUCUGUUCCAGUUGAGAAACCAGCGAAAGAGCUCGUAGCAGAGAAAUUUUUUUUUUGGACAGACUUGAUUUCCAUUGAUGAAAUCUUCUAAACCAUUUCCUUUGAUGGAUGUAAGGAUUUGAAUUCGCCAAACAAUGAAGUUAUUAUGAUCUAGUUUUACUUGAGUAAUAAAACUAUAGGAUCCAGAAUUUUGAUUUGAGUUUACCAUUUGUUUGCUCUGAUACCAUGAAAGAGUUCGUACACAGUGUUUGGUUUAAGAGAAACUACGAGAAAGUGAUAGAAAAUUAUAAAAGAAAGCUCUGAAAAUGAUCAUCUUAUUAUAUCAUUAACAAAUGAUUACAACUUGGUAUUUAUACUAAAUGAAAGAAGAAUCUCGUAGCUUAACAAUUUGUUGGAUCUAAUAUGCAUGCAAUACAGUUCGUUUGCUUUGAUGCUGAGCUAGAUAACUAACUAACACACGUAAGCAUUACCAACUGCUUCAUUUAAGCAGAUGUCCUCAUCUAUACCAUAUUAUCAUACUCUGUAACACAGAGCAAGAAAAUACAAUAAGAAGGAAGCAUCUGAAACAAGAAAAUGAAAAAAUCAGUUCAUUGUCUCCCGCAGCUGGCGCGAUGGCUACGGUUGAACGAGGCUACAAUGACAACUCCUGUCGAUGAGGUGCCUGAAUCACGAUCAUUGCCGCGAACUAGCUACGACUCUGAAUCACGACCACGAUCGGCCCUACGAGCUAAUAAAAAAAAUUGAAUCGAUUGGCAGCGGUGGAUGGUGCGUGAGUGAUGGGCUGACGAUAGUGAAAUUGACAGAGUGAGACGAUGAGACUGGAGAGGAAGAUGGUGAGACCGUGAGAGAGAGAGAGAGAGAGACCAACGAUGGAGAGAGUGGAAGUGAGCAUGAAAGAGAGAGAGAGAG